CAGAACGUAGCUAAAAUAGCAAAGCACCUCCCUUACACCGAGGAAAUAUCCGUGCAAUUCGGAUCAUUCUGA
Molecule: transfer RNA, 72 nt
Filed under: Chiloscyllium griseum (grey bambooshark)
Lineage: Eukaryota; Metazoa; Chordata; Chondrichthyes; Orectolobiformes; Hemiscylliidae
Description: tRNA-Val
Rfam family: tRNA
About the family: Transfer RNA (tRNA) molecules are approximately 80 nucleotides in length. Their secondary structure includes four short double-helical elements and three loops (D, anti-codon, and T loops).
Source: RNAcentral